This 459-nucleotide ribosomal RNA is filed under the name uncultured bacterium. Its description in RNAcentral is "partial 16S ribosomal RNA". It matches the Rfam family "Bacterial small subunit ribosomal RNA", at positions 338 to 795 of the family's 1533-position model. The record is from RNAcentral.
CCUACGGGUGGCAGCAGUGAGGAAUAUUGGUCAAUGGACGAGAGUCUGAACCAGCCAAGUAGCGUGAAGGAUGACUGCCCUAUGGGUUGUAAACUUCUUUUGUCAAGGGACAAAAUCAGGCUCGAGAGCCUGACCGAGGGUACUUGAAGAAAAAGCAUCGGCUAACUCCGUGCCAGCAGCCGCGGUAAUACGGAGGAUGCGAGCGUUAUCCGGAUUUAUUGGGUUUAAAGGGUGCGUAGGCGGACUGUUAAGUCAGCGGUAAAAGCCCGGGGCUCAACCCCGGCGAGCCGUUGAAACUGGCUGUCUUGAGAUGUCGAGAGGUAUGCGGAAUGCGCAGUGUAGCGGUGAAAUGCUUAGAUAUUGCGCAGAACUCCGAUUGCGAAGGCAGCAUACCGGCGGCGAUCUGACGCUGAGGCACGAAAGCGUGGGUAUCGAACAGGAUUAGAUACCCGUGUAGUC